RNAcentral lists this long non-coding RNA (354 nucleotides) under Androctonus crassicauda. Lineage: Eukaryota; Metazoa; Arthropoda; Arachnida; Scorpiones; Buthidae. The record is from RNAcentral.
UCACUUUAGAAAUCAAAAUCAGACUCUUUAAAUCAACUUCUCAGGCAAUCUUUCUUUAUGGAGGAAAAACUUGGAAUACCUCUACUCAAAAAGCAUCAAACACCAUUAACAGCUUUAAUACAAUAUUCCUUAAAUCAAUGCUUGGAUACUCAUGGAAAAAGUACAUUCAUAGUUCCAUUAUCCCUAAUUGAAACUCUUCACUGCAGGCAAUUCAAAUGGCUUGGACACUAUUUGAGAUAUUCUCCACUUCCACAUUUCAUUACUCUAGGACUUUACACACCCUCCAAUAGCAGAAGAUGGAAAGGAAGACCAUCCAAAUAAUACUGGCAGUACAUCAACCACAUUAUUGGCUCC